RNAcentral lists this ribosomal RNA (146 nucleotides) under Dinophyceae sp. Its description in RNAcentral is "partial small subunit ribosomal RNA". It matches the Rfam family "Eukaryotic small subunit ribosomal RNA", at positions 1296 to 1460 of the family's 1831-position model. Lineage: Eukaryota; Dinophyceae. The record is from RNAcentral.
AGUUGGUGGAGUGAUUUGUCUGGUUAAUUCCGUUAACGAACGAGACCUUAUCCUGCUAAAUAGACGCACCUAUCUUCGGAUAAGUGUCCGGCUUCUUAGAGGGACUUUGCGAUUUUAAGCGUAAGGAAGUUUGAGGCAAUAACAGG